RNAcentral lists this long non-coding RNA (1307 nucleotides) under Suricata suricatta (meerkat). Its description in RNAcentral is "lncRNA (ENSSSUG00005014440.1)". Lineage: Eukaryota; Metazoa; Chordata; Mammalia; Carnivora; Herpestidae. The record is from RNAcentral.
GAAAAUCAGAUCUGACGUUAGGUGUUUGGGACUUAGCUGAGGUCGUAUGUAGUCAUAGUUGGGCCUGAACUGCCCUGGGAUGUGGAAAGACAACGCGAUGCAGAUCCAAGUCGCCUGUUUUCCACUUGGGCGUUUGAUGCUGGGGCUGUAACAUUUGUGUGUUACAGGUUGUGUCGUAGGUAAAACCGCUGGGGUCAUGCCCUGCUCCAGUGAGUUUGGGUCCUGCUUCAAGGGUGUUCUGGAGCUGCUUUUCUCUAAAGGCAAGGGCACAGGAGGGAAGACAGUCUCCAGAGCUUUUACUCUUGUACUGAGCCAAGAUGAUGCCUCUGACCAUUCACAAAUGAUGCAGGAACAGAUGACUGGAGCUGCUAUGACUACGCCUGCAACAGAACACCAACAAAGCUUUCAAGAGAACAUGGGAAAUUUGGGGGCUGACAGUUUGCCUGUGGCUAUUAGAUGGAAUUGAAGAGGAGUUCAUGGCUAAAGACUGGUGACUCCAGUAGUAAAAAUUAGAAAAUGAGAAAAAACAAACUAUUAUUAAUAUACAAAACAUAGUAAAACUUCAUUCUGUGGAAAAAAAAUGUUGUCAAUUAUGCCAAAUUAUUAUGUUCACUCAGUAUGACUUUUAACCACAGGAAACUCUUGAUUUUGUGGGAUUAAAAAACCCUGCAUUUUACUGCUAAUCUUUUGUUUGUGUUUUUAUACUUUUCUUAACACGAAUAUGCAUUUUCAUUACAAAACAUGUAGCAACUAUGGAGAUGCAAAGUGAAGUUUCCUGUGGUUCAUGUGGAGCCUACAGAGUGACAGAACAAAUGUGUGAAAACCUUAUUCAAAUGAGCUCUUUUCAAAGUAAAUACCCAGAGCCAUAACAAAGUUAGCAAACAUUCUAUACUGCUUAAUAGCCACUAGUGAAAAAUCAGUUAUCUUGAGACCCUGCUGGGUUCUCAAGUGCCUUUGGGAUCAUCCACAGGUUAAAUAAUGUGAAGUCUUGAUCUGAUGUUCAUAAUAUAUAAAAUCUAUUGACAAAUCAUUGGUGCUAUACCGUAUAUGGCUACUCAGUAAAAGAAAAGAGCUCAGUUCCCAGUUAUUCUGUAUGAGACAGAAUUUACACAGAUAAGUAAGAAGGAAGAGAGGGUAAUUGCUGUCAGCACAUAGUUAAGGGUGGUCCUGCAAUAAUUUUAUCUGGAUCAACUGCCCUAAGGAAGAGUCAGGGUGCUAUUUCUGUACCAAGAGGCGAAUGUAAUUUGCAUGUUGAACGCUGCUAACAAGAACAAACAAUUUCAAUUCUACAAAUUAAACCAAGUUGU